CCUACGGGGUGCUGCAGUAGGGAAUCUUUCACAAUGGGCGAAAGCCUGAUGGAGCAACGCCGCGUGCAGGAUGAAGGCCUUCGGGUUGUAAACUGCUUUUAUAAGCGAGAAAUAUGAUGGUAACUUAUGAAUAAGGAUCGGCUAACUACGUGCCAGCAGCCGCGGUCAUACGUAGGAUCCGAGCAUUAUCCGGAGUGACUGGGUGUAAAGAGUUGCGUAGGUGGCAUAAUAAGUAGCUAGUGAAAUCUGGUGGCUCAACCAUUCAGACUAUUAGCUAAACUGUUAAGCUCGAGACCGUUAGGGGUAACUGGAAUUUCUAGUGUAGGAGUGAAAUCCGUAGAUAUUAGAAGGAACACCAAUAGCGUAGGCAGGUUGCUGGGACGGGUCUGACACUAAGGCACGAAAGCGUAGGGAGCAAACGGGAUUAGAUACCCCAGUAGUC
RNAcentral lists this ribosomal RNA (442 nucleotides) under uncultured bacterium. RNAcentral describes it as "partial 16S ribosomal RNA". It matches the Rfam family "Bacterial small subunit ribosomal RNA", at positions 338 to 795 of the family's 1533-position model. The record is from RNAcentral.